GAUGAACGCUGGCGGCGUGCCUAAUACAUGCAAGUCGAGCGAACAGACGAGGAGCUUGCUCCUCUGACGUUAUCGGCGGACGGGUGAGUAACACGUGGAUAACCUACCUAUAAGACUGGGAUAACUUCGGGAAACCGGAGCUAAUACCGGAUAAUAUAUUGAACCGCAUGGUUCAAUAGUGAAAGACGGUUUUGCUGUCACUUAUAGAUGGAUCCGCGCCGCAUUAGCUAGUUGGUAAGGUAACGGCUUACCAAGGCAACGAUGCGUAGCCGACCUGAGAGGGUGAGCGGCCACACUGGAGCUGGGACACGGUCCAGACUCCUACGGGAGGCAGAAGUAUUGAAUCUUCCGCAAUGGGCGAAAGCCUGACGUUACAACGGCGCGUGAGUGAUGAUGGUCUUCGGGUCGUAAAACUCUGUUAUUAGGGAAGAACAAAUGUGUAAGUAACUAUGCACGUCUUGACGGUACCUAAUCAGAAAGCCACGGCUAACUACGUG
RNAcentral lists this ribosomal RNA (497 nucleotides) under uncultured bacterium. RNAcentral describes it as "partial 16S ribosomal RNA". It matches the Rfam family "Bacterial small subunit ribosomal RNA", at positions 28 to 507 of the family's 1533-position model. The record is from RNAcentral.